This 273-nucleotide long non-coding RNA is filed under the name Chinchilla lanigera (long-tailed chinchilla). RNAcentral's name for it is "lncRNA (ENSCLAG00000026093.1)". Lineage: Eukaryota; Metazoa; Chordata; Mammalia; Rodentia; Chinchillidae. The record is from RNAcentral.
AUUUCUCUACUGCUUUCUAACGAGCAGCACUUUGUGAGAAUGGUCUGAACCAUAACCGAAGGCUUCAUACACAAGUGUGCGAAUCAGAUGAGAGACUUGAACCACAGGAAAAGUUCCCCACCUGGGAAAGACUUAACAGUUUGGGAUGUGAAGAGGGCACGCAGGCGGUGGACUCUGAUCAUCUAAAAGAACGAAGGGGACAACGUGGCCGAUCCUGGAUGAAACAAGGGCAAAACAAGGAAACAAUACUUACACCCGCAGCCCCUAAGAAAU